AGAGUUGAUCAUGGCUCAGGACGAACGCUGGCGGCAUGCCUAAUACACGCAAGUCGAGCGAACAGAUGAAGUGCUUGCACUUCUGACGUUAGCGGCGAACGGGUGAGUAACACGUAAGGAAUCUACCUAUAAGCGGGGGAUAACAUUCGGAAACGGGUGCUAAUACCGCAUAAUAUCUUCUUCCGCAUGGAAGGAGAUUGAAAGACGGCUCUGCUGUCACUUAUAGAUGACCUUGCGGUGCAUUAGUUAGUUGGUGGGGUAACGGCCUACCAAGACGAUGAUGCAUAGCCGACCUGAGAGGGUGAUCGGCCACAUUGGGACUGAGACACGGCCCAAACUCCUACGGGAGGCAGCAGUAGGGAAUCUUCCGCAAUGGGCGAAAGCCUGACGGAGCAAUGCCGCGUGAGUGAAGAAGGCCUUCGGGUCGUAAAACUCUGUUAUAAGAGAAGAACAAAUUGUAGAGUAACUGCUACAGUCUUGACGGUAUCUUAUCAGAAAGCCACGGCUAACUACGUGCCAGCAGCCGCGGUAAUACGUAGGUGGCAAGCGUUGUCCGGAUUUAUUGGGCGUAAAGGGAGCGCAGGUGGUUUCUUAAGUCUGAUGUGAAAGCCCACGGCUUAACCGUGGAGGGUCAUUGGAAACUGGGAAACUUGAGUACAGAAGAGGAAUGUGGAACUCCAUGUGUAGCGGUGGAAUGCGUAGAUAUAUGGAAGAACGCCAGUGGCGAAGGCGACAUUCUGGUCUGUUACUGACACUGAGGCUCGAAAGCGUGGGGAGCAAACAGGAUUAGAUACCCUGGUAGUCC
Molecule: ribosomal RNA, 805 nt
Filed under: uncultured bacterium
Lineage: Bacteria
Description: bacterial SSU rRNA
Rfam family: Bacterial small subunit ribosomal RNA
Source: RNAcentral